UACGUGGGGUGCAAGCGUUAUCCGGAUUUAUUGGGCGUAAAGAGUUCGUAGGCGUCUUAUCAAGUUUUGCUUGAAAUCCUGAGGCUUAACCUCAGAACUGGGUGAAAUACUGGUAAGAUCGAGUCUGUUAGGGGGUACUGGAACUCACGGUGUAGCAGUGAAAUGCGUUGAUAUCAGGAGGAACACCGGUGGCGAAGGCGGGUCUCUGGGCCGAUACUGACGCUGAGGAGCGAAAGCGUGGGGAGCGAACAGG
This 253-nucleotide ribosomal RNA is filed under the name uncultured bacterium. Its description in RNAcentral is "partial 16S ribosomal RNA". It matches the Rfam family "Bacterial small subunit ribosomal RNA", at positions 524 to 776 of the family's 1533-position model. The record is from RNAcentral.